GAGGGUAUAGCUCAAGUGGUAGAGCCCAUGCUUAGCAUACAUGAGGUCCUGGGUUCAAUCCCCAGUACCUCCA
Molecule: transfer RNA, 73 nt
Filed under: Camelus bactrianus (Bactrian camel)
Lineage: Eukaryota; Metazoa; Chordata; Mammalia; Artiodactyla; Camelidae
Also listed under: 2 other names
Rfam family: tRNA
About the family: Transfer RNA (tRNA) molecules are approximately 80 nucleotides in length. Their secondary structure includes four short double-helical elements and three loops (D, anti-codon, and T loops).
Source: Rfam by way of RNAcentral